This 2973-nucleotide long non-coding RNA is filed under the name Mus musculus (house mouse). Its description in RNAcentral is "RIKEN cDNA A730056A06 gene (A730056A06Rik)". Lineage: Eukaryota; Metazoa; Chordata; Mammalia; Rodentia; Muridae. The record is from RNAcentral.
CCGGCUGGCGCUGGUCCCCGCAGCUCAGCGGACUCAGUAGCGACCCGGGGCGCUCCGCCUGCUCCCCGGCUGCAUGCCUGCGAGCGCCUGGAGGAGCGAGCCUCAGGAGCGGCCGGCUGGCCAGUGCUUCCCGGGCGCAGGGCUCGGGCGGCGUAGCUUGCAGUUCCGAGACGCCUGCAGAGUAGGGCGGCCCGGGCUAACCUGCUGCCUCGCCCGGCCUGUCGCCGCCACCGCCACCGCUGAGCGCGGCGUCGCGAGAAAAGGAAACAAAAGCACAGAGAGGUUAACACUUUAUCCAAAGCCCCCGGCUAUCAAGAGUGAGCCUACAGCUUGAAGAUGAUCCUGAGCCUGUGAUGUAUCCUGCCUGGAGGCUUUGUGUGCACAUCCCAGAACAACUGCUCUCCAUCCCGCAGAGGGAUGUGCAUAACGUGGGCAUUUUCACCGCUGUAAUGAUGCCUGGGGACAGGGGAUAUGACAUUUAGUAGCCAAGAGACAAAGAUGCCAGCUGUCUCAAUGCAUAGACCCCUCCACAGUGACCAAGUGUCUUAUCUCCUGUAUGACUUCUCAGUGUGUUUCUGGACAUAUCACAAGCGGAAAACAAACAAACACCAAAGACCUCUGUAUACUGUUGGAGUUGAAAACCUAGCUCUAAGUUAGAUGGAUAAGGAAGUCAUUGGUGUACAUGGACUUCAUUUUCCAUGAAUGCAACUGCUAUAAAGACUGGUCCUUUGCUGGUUUAAAACUUCCAGGCAUUGGUGAGAUGGUUCAGCAGGAGCUUGCUGCCAAAGCCUAAGGUCCUGCAUUGGAUGCUCAGGACCCACUGAGUGGUAGGAGAGAACCGACUCCUUCAAGUGACUCUCUGAUCUCCACACAUGUCAUGACAAGCAUCUUAAACAUACAUAAAAAUUAAUUAAUUAAAAAACUUUUCCAGGAGUUGCUCACCAUUUCAGACAAUCCUAUUAGCUUCAGCACCUCAGCAGCUUAUAAACACAGCUGUGCAGCUUCAAGGCUGAAAUUCUCACACUCUUCAACAGCCCUCUGACUGUUUACAACUACACGCAUUGAGCCCCUGUUUCAAAGGGUCAUAUGGUUAAAGUUUCAAAACUGUUUAGUGAAUAUUAAGCUACUUCUCAUAUGUGUAAAUUCAUUCACCAACUCCUCCUCCCUCAUUGUUAAAGCCUAGGUUAUGUCCCUGGACUCACACGGUGUGACAAAGAGAGCAGGUUGCCCACUGAUCUCCACACAGGCUCUUCAGCGUGUGUGCACAAGUACGCAUACACAUACACACAUUAAUAAAUAUUAAUGCAAUCAUUUUGACAAAAAGAAAAUGUGAGGCUAAAACCCCUGUCUUUAAAAUUGUUCCUUUGCGUGUAGUUCAGUGAACUCUGAGCCCUUCCUGGUGAUCUCCUGCCUGGUUUUGACUCUGUUUGUCCCUGUGGUGGCAGGUGUUAACAGCCUCUAGUAUUGAACCCUUCCCCCCAAGUGAAACAGGCACAUGUGUAGGGAAGCCAUACUGUUUUUCAAAUAGUAAUGCCUUCCUGCCCAAAGCAGGAGCAGAAAGAACUGCUAUUCCAAAAGCGAGACUGAUGCAGGAUGUAGGUUUAUUUAGAUGAUAAAGAAACCGUGGCUAACACUGCACUUUUUCAACAUAACUUGAAGUUGUACAUCCAGGGAGUGAGAGAGAAUCCCAGGGGUUCAGUGAAGUCCCUGUGUUAGGUUCUGGAAGAUGCUGGUUUUCAUUUCAGCAUUCCGUGAUCAAGUCAUGCGUUCUCUCAGCCUCUUUAUUCACCUUAUGAAGGAAGCACUGGACUAGGUCAGGAAAUGCCUGCAAAAUAUUUUGAAAGCCUAUGGGGGGGGGGGAAUUAAACAGUUGGUACACAUUUAUCUCUAUGGUUGUCCUUUGACAAUUUCAUACUGUACAUAUGUAUUGUGACAACGCUUUCAUUCCGCCCCCCCCCCAUUUUGCUCCUUCCUUCCCUAUCACUCCUCCCCCAUUCCCCCUAGUCCCUUUUCUUGACUUUUCUUUUGAUUCUUGAUUUUUGGGUAUUCUUGUGGUCCAUUUAGUUGAAUCAGGCCCCUUCAAGUGAAGGUUGGAUUAGAAUUAUCCAUUGGACCCUGGUGGGGUCACCACAUGGUACACAACAGAAGGCAAUACUUCCUUCUCUCUGAAUCUGUUAGUAGAAAAUCUGUUAGCAGUGAGGGGUAGGGUCCCCUGAGCCGCACAAGGUCAUUUUUGAUGGUCAGAAGAUAAGAUGGAGCUCUAACAGAACUUAGUGGGAAGGGAUCAGAGAGUUGUGGCAUCCUGUGGUGUGCAAGGCAUCCUGGACCAACAUUUUUCUACUAGUUUUUCAAGUAUGUUAAAUAAAUUGUUUUUAACUAUCUGCACCUGUGUUAGCUUUUUGGUCACUGUGACUAAAUGCAUGAGAGAAACAACUGGAAGGAAGAAAGUUCCCUUCUGCUUCCUAGCUCCUGCUUAGAUGGAUUUCAGUCCAUGGCUGGCUGGGUUGGUUGCUUCUUAGCUCAGUGGUAAGUCAGCAGCAUCAUGGAGGAUGCUCACAGUGGAAGAAGGCUACUUAUAUGAUGGUAGUCAGGAUGCAGAGAGGCAAGCAGGAGCCUAGGCAGGAGCCAGGGCAGGAUGUCACCCACAAGGCUAUGCUUGAGUGACCUACAUUCUCCUGCUAGUCCCACCUCCUAACAGUUGAACAUCUCCCAAAAUAAUGUCACCACUUGGGAUCUGAGAGGCUAACACAUGAGGCCAAUUUCACAUUUAAACUGUAAAAAAAAAAUUAAUAUGUAAAUCAUUGCUUCAUGGUUUUAAUUAGCACGAUGUUUUCUAGGGGAAAUAGGUACCACACAAAUGGAAGAAGUGUCUUCUAUGUGCUUAUAUAACUUUUCUGAGUCAUUAUAACUUUUGACAGAUCACAUGAUGGAUGGCAAUGCCAUUCCUGGGUUUGAGAUGCCAAUGUGCUGGUC